GGUAACGGGCUUACCCAAGGCGAUGAUGCAUAGCCCGAGUUGAGAGACUGAUCGGGCCACAUUGGGGACUGAGACACGGGCCCAAAAACUCCUACGGGGAGGCAGCAGUAGGGAAUCUUCCACAAUGGCGAAAGUCUGAUGGAGCAACGCCGCGUGAGUGAAGAAGGUUUUCGGAUCGUAAAAGCUCUGUUGUUGGUGAAGAAGGAUAGAGGUAGUAACUGGCCUUUAUUUGACGGUAAUCAACCAGAAAGUCACGGCUAACUACGUGCCAGCAGCCGCGGUAAU
This 285-nucleotide ribosomal RNA is filed under the name uncultured Lactobacillus sp. Its description in RNAcentral is "partial 16S ribosomal RNA". It matches the Rfam family "Bacterial small subunit ribosomal RNA", at positions 256 to 524 of the family's 1533-position model. Lineage: Bacteria; Bacillati; Bacillota; Bacilli; Lactobacillales; Lactobacillaceae. The record is from RNAcentral.